GGAGAGUAUUGAGGCAGAGAUAAGGAGACAACUGGAAUUGCUGAGAAAGAGAGCGAGAAUUGAAACUGUAAUGUUUUUGAGCGUGCAUGGAGAACAGCAGAGGAAGAAGAGCUACCUAUUAAAUGCAGGAAGAGAGACGAAUCUACAGAAAACUUAAUUCAAGUGUAUUACUGUAAACAAAUACCAGUAUGUACCAACACAAAUGUUGGGGUGAUACAUAAAUUACCUCUGUUGGAGGAAGGAUUUAGCAAUGGCCUUCAGGAAGGUACUUUUCUAUCCACCUUUCAAUAACUGAAAUAAAAUGCAUACUGACUUU
Long non-coding RNA from Tympanuchus pallidicinctus (lesser prairie-chicken), 316 nucleotides. RefSeq lists it as uncharacterized. NCBI's taxonomy places the organism in Eukaryota, Metazoa, Chordata, Aves, Galliformes, Phasianidae. The record is from RefSeq and is a predicted model, not a curated record. The transcript has 3 exons.